GACGAACGCUGGCGGCGUGCCUAAUACAUGCAAGUAGAACGCUGAAGGAGGAGCUUGCUUCUCUGGAUGAGUUGCGAACGGGUGAGUAACGCGUAGGUAACCUGCCUGGUAGCGGGGGAUAACUAUUGGAAACGAUAGCUAAUACCGCAUAAGAGUAGAUGUUGCAUGACAUUUGCUUAAAAGGUGCAAUUGCAUCACUACCAGAUGGACCUGCGUUGUAUUAGCUAGUUGGUGGGGUAACGGCUUACCAAGGCGAAGAUACAUAGCCGACCUGAGAGGGUGAUCGGCCACACUGGGACUGAGACACGGCCCAGACUCCUACGGGAGGCAGCAGUAGGGAAUCUUCGGCAAUGGACGGAAGUCUGACCGAGCAACGCCGCGUGAGUGAAGAAGGUUUUCGGAUCGUAAAGCUCUGUUGUAAGAGAAGAACGAGUGUGAGAGUGGAAAGUUCACACUGUGACGGUAUCUUACCAGAAAGGGACGGCUAACUACGUG
RNAcentral lists this ribosomal RNA (495 nucleotides) under uncultured bacterium. Its description in RNAcentral is "partial 16S ribosomal RNA". It matches the Rfam family "Bacterial small subunit ribosomal RNA", at positions 28 to 507 of the family's 1533-position model. The record is from RNAcentral.